GAACGCUGGCGGCGUGCUUAACACAUGCAAGUCGAACGGAACUCCUAUGAACGAGGUUUCGGCCAAGUGAAUAGGAUGUUUAGUGGCGGACGGGUGAGUAACGCGUGAGUAACCUGCCUUGGAGUGGGGAAUAACACAGUGAAAAAUUGUGCUAAUACCGCAUAAUGCAUUUGGAUCGCAUGAUUCUGAAUGCCAAAGACUUAUCGCUCUGAGAUGGACUCGCGUCUGAUUAGCUAGUUGGCGGGGCAACGGCCCACCAAGGCGACGAUCAGUAGCCGGACUGAGAGGUUGGCCGGCCACAUUGGGACUGAGACACGGCCCAGACUCCUACGGGAGGCAGCAGUGGGGAAUAUUGGGCAAUGGGCGCAAGCCUGACCCAGCAACGCCGCGUGAAGGAAGAAGGCUUUCGGGUUGUAAACUUCUUUUGUCAGGGACGAAGCAAGUGACGGUACCUGACGAAUAAGCCACGGCUAACUACGUG
This 481-nucleotide ribosomal RNA is filed under the name uncultured bacterium. RNAcentral's name for it is "bacterial SSU rRNA". It matches the Rfam family "Bacterial small subunit ribosomal RNA", at positions 31 to 507 of the family's 1533-position model. The record is from RNAcentral.